RNAcentral lists this ribosomal RNA (428 nucleotides) under Pseudomonadota bacterium. RNAcentral's name for it is "Proteobacteria bacterium partial 16S ribosomal RNA". It matches the Rfam family "Bacterial small subunit ribosomal RNA", at positions 355 to 776 of the family's 1533-position model. Lineage: Bacteria; Pseudomonadati; Pseudomonadota. The record is from RNAcentral.
UGGGGAAUAUUGGACAAUGGGCGAAAGCCUGAUCCAGCCAUGCCGCGUGUGUGAAGAAGGUCUUCGGAUUGUAAAGCACUUUAAGUUGGGAGGAAGGGCAGUAAGCGAAUACCUUGCUGUUUUGACGUUACCGACAGAAUAAGCACCGGCUAACUCUGUGCCAGCAGCCGCGGUAAUACAGAGGUGCAAGCGUUAAUCGGAAUUACUGGGCGUAAAGCGCGCGUAGGUGGUUCGUUAAGUUGAAUGUGAAAGCCCCGGGCUCAACCUGGGAACUGCAUCCAAAACUGGCGAGCUAGAGUAGGGCAGAGGGUGGUGGAAUUUCCUGUGUAGCGGUGAAAUGCGUAGAUAUAGGAAGGAACACCAGUGGCGAAGGCGACCACCUGGGCUCAUACUGACACUGAGGUGCGAAAGCGUGGGGAGCAAACAGG